RNAcentral lists this long non-coding RNA (363 nucleotides) under Gossypium barbadense (sea-island cotton). Its description in RNAcentral is "long non-coding RNA (GBAR_LNC011197)". The record is from RNAcentral. Lineage: Eukaryota; Viridiplantae; Streptophyta; Magnoliopsida; Malvales; Malvaceae.
UCUCCCUCCCAACAUCAACAGAAGUUGCCAGUGAACCAAACCUCCACCCGCUCAGAUCUUUCGCCGACUUUCAUCUUGGCAUCUUGGCAUCUUUCGCCAACAUCAACAGAAGCGGCAAGUGUUUCUUCUCUUUUUUUACUUAAUUUGGAUUUUUAAUUUUCUUUCUCAUGAUUGUUUUGUCGACAAAAAACAGAAUUGUGUUCUUCAACUAUGGUGGGUUUUGUCUGUUGAAAUUAGGGUUUUUUUGGGAUAAAUUUUGAAUUCUCCUGCAUUUUGAUUCUAUCUUGUAUCCUUCACAGUUGUCUGUUGAAAUAACUUCUAUUUGCUCUUUGCUCUUUGGUGUUUCAUGUCUGCUGCCUGAUU